CAGCAGCCACGGAAUACGGAGGGUGCAAGCGUUACUCGGAAUCACUGGGCGUAAAGGACGCGUAGGCGGAUUAUCAAGUCUCUUGUGAAAUCUAACGGCUUAACCGUUAAACUGCUUGGGAAACUGAUAAUCUAGAGUAAGGGAGAGGCAGAUGGAAUUCUUGGUGUAGGGGUAAAAUCCGUAGAUAUCAAGAAGAAUACCUAUUGCGAAGGCGAUCUGCUGGAACUUAACUGACGCUAAUGCGUGAAAGCGUGGGGAGCAAACAGGAUUAGAUACCCCGGUAGUCCCUGUCUCUUAUACA
Molecule: ribosomal RNA, 301 nt
Filed under: uncultured bacterium
Lineage: Bacteria
Description: partial 16S ribosomal RNA
Rfam family: Bacterial small subunit ribosomal RNA
Source: RNAcentral